Molecule: ribosomal RNA, 371 nt
Filed under: uncultured bacterium
Lineage: Bacteria
Description: bacterial SSU rRNA
Rfam family: Bacterial small subunit ribosomal RNA
Source: RNAcentral
GUAGGGGGCAAGCGUUGUCCGGAUUUAUUGGGCGUAAAGCGCGUGUAGGCGGCUUGGCAAGUCCGCUGUGAAAACUCGAGGCUCAACCUCGAGCUGUCGGUGGAAACUGCCUGGCUAGAGUCCGGAAGAGGAGUGUGGAAUUCCUGGUGUAGCGGUGAAAUGCGCAGAUAUCAGGAAGAACACCUAUGGCGAAGGCAGCACUCUGGGACGGUACUGACGCUGAGACGCGAAAGCGUGGGGAGCGAACAGGAUUAGAUACCCUGGUAGUCCACGCCGUAAACGAUGGAUGCUAGGUGUGGGCGGUGUCGACUCCGUCCGUGCCGAAGCUAACGCAUUAAGCAUCCCGCCUGGGGAGUACGGCCGCAAGGCUA